This is a small nuclear RNA of Chanos chanos (milkfish), 164 nucleotides long. RefSeq annotates it as U1 spliceosomal RNA. The record is from RefSeq and is a predicted model, not a curated record. The transcript has a single exon. Lineage: Eukaryota; Metazoa; Chordata; Actinopteri; Gonorynchiformes; Chanidae.
AUACUUACCUGGCAAGGGAGACACAAUGAUUACGAAGGUGGUUCACCCAGGGUGAGGCUUAGCCAUUGCACUUGGGCUAAGCUGACCUCUGCAAAUUCCCCAAAGGCGGGAAUCUCGACUGCAUAAUUUGCAGUAGUGGGGGACUGCAUUCGCGCUCUCUUCUG